CCUAAUAGGAUUGGGCUUACGA
This 22-nucleotide non-coding RNA is filed under the name Arabidopsis thaliana (thale cress). The record is from RNAcentral. Lineage: Eukaryota; Viridiplantae; Streptophyta; Magnoliopsida; Brassicales; Brassicaceae.